RNAcentral lists this ribosomal RNA (336 nucleotides) under Triticum aestivum (bread wheat). Its description in RNAcentral is "partial small subunit ribosomal RNA". Lineage: Eukaryota; Viridiplantae; Streptophyta; Magnoliopsida; Poales; Poaceae. The record is from RNAcentral.
AUGACAAACUUUAUCAGGAGAACUAGAUUGAGAUGGGCUAACCAGCUGAUGUUACCCGGGGAGAGGGAGUGGAGUGUACCACUAAUUCAUCAACUGUUUUACCCUUUCAACGUGGAAACCAUUUGUAAUAUAAAAAUCCCCUUGGUGGAGAUUGAGGACUGCAUUACAAGGCAUUACGAAAAAUCUGGAAACUUCUCUGUCAAGAGCGCUUAUAGAUUGGCAGCUCAACCAAUGAAGCGGACAAUCGAAGUAUUUGGGAUCUCAUUCGGAAAGCAAAAGUUGCCCCAAAAAUCAGGGUCUUUGAUGGAGAACUGCUACCGGUACUUUGGGAACUAA